This 2684-nucleotide long non-coding RNA is filed under the name Xyrichtys novacula (pearly razorfish). Lineage: Eukaryota; Metazoa; Chordata; Actinopteri; Labriformes; Labridae. The record is from RNAcentral.
AAGCAGCAGAAAUCCAGCUGCAGCACUCCGAUAAUCAUCAUAGUCAUUUUAAAGUUUAAAGUAAGCUCCGUAGCGCACGCCACAGGGAGGGGCGUGGCUUGCGCUAAAGGAGGCGUGGACAGGCGCGGCACAUAGAAACGGCUCGUUCUCGGUAGAGCUCACAAGAGAGUUUUCAGGCUGGCUGAAGUCCAGGAAAAACUAGGUUUUUAGACAACAAACUUCAAAUUGACUGUUCUGGGACCUCUGAGACCUGCUGAAAAGGAGUUUAAUAUGGGACCAUUAAUGAAAAGUACAUCCCUGUGGCUAAUAUAGAUGGAUAAUCAAACAGAGAAUGAAUCUUAGAGCUUAGAGCUCUCUCUGCAGAUAAGGAUGCUAAUCCUGAGGGUAACUGUGCACAUAGGGGUCCCUUUCCUUUAGUUAAAUUACACUUUACAAAAUGAAAACUUCAAAUUAUCCCUCACUAAUUGAUGCAGCUGGUUGAUAUUAAUGUCCAUGAAAAGAGAACACAAAGUGCUAAACAGUGAUUUUAUUGAUCGACUCUGUAAAAAGCUUUAAGCCAAAGUCUCUCCCCUCAGCCUCUGUUUACUGCUCCCAGAGCUGUACCUCCAUCCUGAAAUAUUUAAUGCAUUAAUCUAUCUAUGUAAUGUUCUCAAAUCAAACUGGGGUCAGACACAGAAAAACCUGCUUAUUGGAAACAAAUGAGGGCAAACAGAGUGACGUACUGAGCUGUAUAUGAAACAAGUGGCCAUUAAAAUGGAUUUAUCAGGAUUCCACUGACGAAUAAACUCACACAUCUUACUCACUCACUAAAACACACACACACACACACACACACACACACACACACACACACACACACACACACACACACACACACACACACACACACACACACACACACACACACACACACACACACAAAAGAAAGACACACACAGACCUCCCAGUAUGAGCCUUCUCUGUGUUGUAAGUUAAACCCGGCUGUUCCAAUUCCGACUGUAUCGCUCUCUCCUGCUUUCUCUGCACCCCCCUCAGCCUUCCUCAUGUGGAGUCCCCCCUAGGCUCCACACUUGGUCCUGUUUUAUUCUCUUUGUAUGUGCUUCCUCUGGGGUCAAUUUUGAAAAAAGUACAGAAUAUCUGUACUUCAUCAGAGUUUACAGUGCAGAGUUUUCCUCUGCCAGCCAAACUGACUUUACAAUAAAUCACACUCAAAAAACCUAACAUUGUAACCUGAAAGAUGCAAAUAAUUUCUCAAAGUUGUUUCACAGCAUGUGAGACCGUGAAUCUUAUUCAUAAAUUCCCCUAAAUCACAGUGUGUCAGUGCCAUCUUGCUUCACUGAGAGGAGGAGAGACUCAUUGAUAUUAUAUUUUUAACUCUAGUUUUUAGACAUUUUGGGUUGUGGAGCUGUCCAAACAUUUCACCCUACAAUACACCAUACGAGAUUUCAUCAUUGGUGGAAAUGAAAUAUUCAACUUUUGCUUUGUUUCAAUUAGCGCUCUUAAGUGAUAGAAAUAUAUCACUAUAAUAUCUUAAGCAUUUAUUCUAUCCAAAGAGGCAGAAAAAGCCACAGACACCUUAAAUCCACCCAAAUCACUGGGAAGUUGAUUCAGACCUGUCAAAUUUCAUCAGAGGACCUCUGUGGGGUUGAGAUAUGCCCAGAAUUUUUCAAUAUUUUCAAUAUUGCAGACAUGGUCGACAGGCCAAUGAUCAGAGAUCAGCACGUAAUACAUCAGAAAAGAUUAUUAAUACUUCUAUCACCAUGUCUUGAUUCCUGCUCGUUGGUGUUGUCAGAUCCCUGCUGCUCAUCUCUUACCUGAUGAACAGAAACAGGAGCACAUCUCACCUAUUCUGUCUUUUAUUCACAGGAUCCAGGUGCAUCUUGGGGUUGAUUUUUAAUUUUUACCGAUGAAUUUCAAAACACUUGACACUUUAGUUCUUACUGAAUCUCUCUGACCUUUCAAAACCACAUGGUUAAUCUGGGGCUGCCUCUGAAUGUCCUCAGUUCUGGACUGAAGCCUGUCCCAAACCAAACCUCACUCAGCUCCUGUUGUUUCUGAGCGUGCUUUGUGAAUACAGUUGGACUGCAUUGGGUCUCUCUGGAUCCCAGCACUCUGACACAAGCCUCGGACACUCAGGAACGUCUGAAUGUGCUCUUUGUGUACUCAUUGUGUGUUUGUGUUAGUGACCCGGCAGCAUCACAUCCUCCUGACUUGCCUUGUCACAUGAUCGAGCAGCUCCGUGUCAGGCCGGUCCAUCCUGCAGAUCUGCAUCCGCUCAGCCUAUUCUCUGGCUGCAGACCGGGAGAGCCUCUGCCCCUCAGAGCCGGCAGACUCUCCAGUACUUUUCCACCCUCAUGGACAAGAGGAGAGAGAGAAUGAAGCAGGGGAGGGAGGGGGAGACAAGGAGACUCAAAAAAAAGGCUGAAUACACCAGGGAGGAGGAGGAGGAGGAAGAGGAGGUUGUCUGCACUUGUUCAGUUUGAACAUGCUUGACUGUUUCUUCUCCUUUCUCUUUAUCUUUGUCCCUCCCUUCUUACCUGUGUCCUUCCCUCCUUAACCUUGUCCCUUCCUCCUUACCUUUGUCCCUGUCCUGAAGGUGCAGAAGUCCUUACAUAACUCCCUCAGAGCUGCUGGUUCUGACUCCUUGUUGUCCUUGUUCGGUUAAGGACAUGUAGCAGGGCAAA